UUGAUCCCGUCGGACCUUACUGCUAUCGAGAUGGGACUAACCCAGGCCAGUCGAACGACCCGGACUAUGGCGGGGAGUGGCGCACUGCUCAGUAACACGUAGCUAACCUAACCUCAAGACGGAAAUAACCCCGGGAAACUGGGGUCAAUGUCCGAUAGAUGUGAAUUCCUGGAAUGGUGUCACAUCCAAACGUCAACACACCAUGUUGUGCGAACGCUUGAGGAUGGGGCUGCGGCCGAUCAGGCUGUUGGUGGGGUAAUGGCCCACCAAACCUUUGACCGGUAUGGGCCAUGAGAGUGGUAGCCCAGAGAUGGACACUGAGACAAGGGUCCAGGCCCUACGGGGCGCAGCCGGUACGAAACCUCCACAAUGCACGCAAGUGCGAUGGGGUUAUCUCGAGUGCUAUCUGAAAAAGGUAGCUUUUCCAUGGUCUAAAUAGCCGUGGGAAUAAGGGGGGGGCAAGACUGGUGUCAGCCGCCGCGGUAACACCAGCCCCCCGAGUGGUAGGGAUGUUUAUUUGGCCUAAAGCGUCCGUAGCCGGCUAAGUAAAUUUCUCGUUAAAUCCAACGUCCUAAGCGUUGGGCUGCGAGAAAGACUGCUUAGCUAGAGGGUGGGAGAGGUCAGCGGUAUUCCUGGGGUAGGGGCGAAAUCCAUUGAACCCAGGAGGACCACCAGUGGCGAAGGCUGCUGACUAGAACACGCCUGACGGUGAGGGACGAAAGCUGGGGUAGCGAAUCGGAUUAGAUACCCGAGUAGUCCCAGCCGUAAACGAUGCAGACUAGGUGUUGGGUUGGCCACGCGCCGACUCAGUGCCACAGGGAAGCCAUUAAGUCUGCCGCCUGGGAAGUACGGCCGCAAGGCUGAAACUUAAAGGAAUUGGCGGGGGAGCACCACCAGGCGUGAAGCCUGCGGUUUAAUUGGAGUCAACGCCGGGAACCUUACCGGGAGCGACAGCAGAGUGAAGGCCAGGCUAAAGGUCUUGCCAGACGAGCUGAGAGGAGGUGCAUGGCCGUCGCCAGUUCGUGCCGUGAGGUGUCCUCUUAAGUGAGGUAACGAACGAGACCCGCGCCGCAUGUUGCUAACAAGUCCUAAAGGGAUGUUGAGCACUCUUGCGGGACCGCAGCCGACAAGGCUGAGGAAGGUGCGGGCAACGGCAGGUCAGUAUGCCCCGAAUCUCCCGGGCCACACGCGGGCUGCAAUGGU
Molecule: ribosomal RNA, 1203 nt
Filed under: metagenome
Description: bacterial SSU rRNA
Rfam family: Archaeal small subunit ribosomal RNA
Source: RNAcentral